This 393-nucleotide ribosomal RNA is filed under the name uncultured bacterium. RNAcentral describes it as "partial 16S ribosomal RNA". It matches the Rfam family "Bacterial small subunit ribosomal RNA", at positions 523 to 918 of the family's 1533-position model. The record is from RNAcentral.
AUACGGAGGAUCCGAGCGUUAUCCGGAUUUAUUGGGUUUAAAGGGAGCGUAGGCGGACGCUUAAGUCAGUUGUGAAAGUUUGCGGCUCAACCGUAAAAUUGCAGUUGAUACUGGGUGUCUUGAGUACAGUAGAGGCAGGCGGAAUUCGUGGUGUAGCGGUGAAAUGCUUAGAUAUCACGAAGAACUCCGAUUGCGAAGGCAGCUUACUGGACUGUAACUGACGCUGAUGCUCGAAAGUGUGGGUAUCAAACAGGAUUAGAUACCCUGGUAGUCCACACAGUAAACGAUGAAUACUCGCUGUUUGCGAUAUACAGCAAGCGGCCAAGCGAAAGCAUUAAGUAUUCCACCUGGGGAGUACGCCGGCAACGGUGAAACUCAAAUGAAUUGACGGGG